Myxocyprinus asiaticus (Chinese sucker) is the source of this 95-nucleotide long non-coding RNA. RefSeq lists it as uncharacterized. The transcript has 2 exons. NCBI's taxonomy places the organism in Eukaryota, Metazoa, Chordata, Actinopteri, Cypriniformes, Catostomidae. The record is from RefSeq and is a predicted model, not a curated record.
GGGAGGGAGAGAGAAAGAGCUCCAUGACCGUGAGAACAGGGCGUGCUAAGUGACUCCAGUCAGGCUUCCUAAGCAACCAAUUGGAAGAAUAGCGG